CCCCGGGGAUAACAGGGUCGUCGCGGGCGAGAGCUCCCAUCGACCCCGCGGUUUGCUACAUCGAUGUCGGCUCUUCCCACCCUGGGGGUGCAGCUGCCCCCAAGGGUAGGGCUGCCCGCCCGUUAAAGGGGAACGUGAGCUGGGUUUAGACCGUCGCGAGACAGGUCGGACUCUAAGGGUGGGGAGUGCUGGCCGUCUGAGGGGAAGGUACCCCUAGUACGAGAGGAACAGGGUACCGGGGCCUCUAGUUUACCGGUUGUCCGGUAGGGCAGUGCCGGGCAGCCACGCCCUAAGGGGUAAUCGCUGAAAGCAUCUAAGCGAGAACCCCUCCCCGAAAAGAGACGGCCAUGCGGGGCUAACCCGCGAGAGCCCUCCCCUAGAAGAGGGGGUUGAUGGGGGCGGGGUGUAAG
This 410-nucleotide ribosomal RNA is filed under the name Sulfolobus sp. A20-N-F8. RNAcentral's name for it is "partial 23S ribosomal RNA". It matches the Rfam family "Archaeal large subunit ribosomal RNA", at positions 2535 to 2928 of the family's 2987-position model. The record is from RNAcentral. Lineage: Archaea; Thermoproteati; Thermoproteota; Thermoprotei; Sulfolobales; Sulfolobaceae.